Molecule: ribosomal RNA, 253 nt
Filed under: uncultured bacterium
Lineage: Bacteria
Description: partial 16S ribosomal RNA
Rfam family: Bacterial small subunit ribosomal RNA
Source: RNAcentral
UACGUAGGGUGCGAGCGUUGUCCGGAAUUAUUGGGCGUAAAGAGCUCGUAGGCGGCUUGUCACGUCGGAUGUGGAAACCCGGGGCUCAACCCCGGGCCUGCAUUCGAUACGGGCAGGCUAGAGUUCGGCAGGGGAGACUGGAAUUCCUGGUGUAGCGGUGAAAUGCGUAGAUAUCGGGAGGAACACCAGUGGCGAAGGCGACUUCCUGGCCUGUUCUUGACGCUGAGGCGCGAAAGCUAGGGGAGCAAACGGG